GAUGAACGCUAGCGGCAGGCCUAACACAUGCAAGUCGAGGGGCAGCACGGUGUAGCAAUACACUGGUGGCGACCGGCGCACGGGUGAGUAACACGUAUCCAACCUGCCGAUAACUCGGGGAUAACCCUUCGAAAGAAGGCCUAAUACCCGAUGGCAUAUCCCUUCCGCCUGGUGGGGAUAUUAAAGAACUUCGGUUAUCGAUGGGGAUGCGUUCCAUUAGCUUGUUGGCGGGGUAACGGCCCACCAAGGCAUCGAUGGAUAGGGGUUCUGAGAGGAAGGUCCCCCACAUUGGAACUGAGACACGGUCCAAACUCCUACGGGAGGCAGCAGUGAGGAAUAUUGGUCAAUGGACGAGAGUCUGAACCAGCCAAGUAGCGUGAAGGAUGAAGGUCCUAUGGAUUGUAAACUUCUUUAUACGGGAAUAAAGUGCAGUAUGCAUACUGUUUUGUAUGUACCGUAUGAAUAAGGAUCGGCUAACUCCGUGCCAGCCGCCGCUGUA
RNAcentral lists this ribosomal RNA (499 nucleotides) under uncultured bacterium. Its description in RNAcentral is "bacterial SSU rRNA". It matches the Rfam family "Bacterial small subunit ribosomal RNA", at positions 28 to 522 of the family's 1533-position model. The record is from RNAcentral.